GAGGGAAAGAUGAAAAGCACUUUGGAAAGAGAGUUAACAGUACGUGAAAUUGUUGGAAGGGAAACGCUUGAAGUCAGACUUGCUGUUCGGAGUUCAGCCGCAAGGUGUACUCUCCGAGUUGCAGGCCAGCAUCAGUUUUUCGGGGUGGAAAAUCACGGUUUGAAGGUAGCAGUUUCGGCUGUGUUAUAGCUUUCCGUUGGAUACAUCCUGGGGGACUGAGGAACGCAGUGUGCUUUUAGCGGAGGUUUCGACCUCUUCACACUUAGGAUGCUGGUGGAAUGGCUUUAAACGACCCGUCUUGUAACACGGACCAAGAAGUCUAACAUGUGUGCGAGUCAUUGGGUAUUUUGUUGAAACCUAAGGGCGCAAUUAAAAUAACUAUUUUAUGGGAUUACAAGUGAAUUAAAUUUCAUUUCUUCAUCCCGGGGCGUUCUAUACGAACAUGGUUUGAGCAAUUGAAUCCUCUGUUCAAGAGCGUACCUUGAGCAUACAUGCUGUGACCCGAAAGAUGGUGAACUAUACCUGAUCAGAUCGAAGCCAGGAGAAAUUCUGGUGGAGGAUCGAAACAGUUCUGACGUGCAAAUCGAUUGUCAGAAUUGGGUAUAGGGGCGAAAGACCAAUCGAACCAUCUAGUAGCUGGUUUCCUCCGAAGUUUCCCUCAGGAUAGCUGGCGCAAAGAAUUAUAUUGUAUAUAAUCUUAUCUGGUAAAGCGAAUGAUUAGAGGCCUUGGGGCCGAAACGACCUCAACCUAUUCUCAAACUUUAAAUGGGU
Molecule: ribosomal RNA, 771 nt
Filed under: Thalassiosira minuscula
Lineage: Eukaryota; Bacillariophyta; Thalassiosirophyceae; Thalassiosirales; Thalassiosiraceae
Description: partial Eukaryotic large subunit ribosomal RNA
Rfam family: Eukaryotic large subunit ribosomal RNA
Source: RNAcentral